This 468-nucleotide ribosomal RNA is filed under the name uncultured bacterium. RNAcentral describes it as "partial 16S ribosomal RNA". It matches the Rfam family "Bacterial small subunit ribosomal RNA", at positions 28 to 507 of the family's 1533-position model. The record is from RNAcentral.
GACGAACGCUGGCGGCGUGCUUAACACAUGCCAGUCGAACGGAAAGGCCCUGCUUUUGUGGGGUGCUCGAGUGGCGAACGGGUGAGUAACACGUGAGUAACCUGCCCUUGACUUUGGGAUAACUUCAGGAAACUGGGGCUAAUACCGGAUAGGAGCUCCUGCUGCAUGGUGGGGGUUGGAAAGUUUCGGCGGUUGGGGAUGGACUCGCGGCUUAUCAGCUUGUUGGUGGGGUAGUGGCUUACCAAGGCUUUGACGGGUAGCCGGCCUGAGAGGGGGACCGGCCACAUUGGGACUGAGAUACGGCCCAGACUCCUACGGGAGGCAGCAGUGGGGAAUAUUGCACAAUGGGCGGAAGCCUGAUGCAGCAACGCCGCGUGCGGGAUGACGGCCUUCGGGUUGUAAACCGCUUUCGCCUGUGACGAAGCGUGAGUGACGGUAAUGGGUAAAGAAGCACCGGCUAACUACGUG